GCCACGGUGGUGUAGUGCCGAAAGGCGCAUGAUGGUUAGCAUGGAGGCCUGUGGAGCCUUAGACCUGAGUUCGAAUCUCGGCCGUGGCC
RNAcentral lists this transfer RNA (89 nucleotides) under Microcaldota archaeon. RNAcentral's name for it is "Candidatus Micrarchaeota archaeon (hot springs metagenome) tRNA-His". It matches the Rfam family "tRNA". From Rfam's summary of the family: Transfer RNA (tRNA) molecules are approximately 80 nucleotides in length. Their secondary structure includes four short double-helical elements and three loops (D, anti-codon, and T loops). Lineage: Archaea; Nanobdellati; Microcaldota. The record is from RNAcentral.